AUGGCCGACGCGGAUCAAAGUGUAGUAUCUGUUCUCAUCAGCUUAAUAUAUGAUACGGGUUUUAUUUGGACCCAAGUUAUGAAACUUGCUUUUUGCAAGUUGGCGGAAUGCUUGGAGCCUGCUUCACCUCCGCCGCCGGUAUUGCUCUGUCCCCGUAUUGCACUAUCUCCGGGAUCGGCCCGCUGUUU
Dermacentor andersoni is the source of this 188-nucleotide small nuclear RNA. RefSeq annotates it as U2 spliceosomal RNA. The record is from RefSeq and is a predicted model, not a curated record. NCBI's taxonomy places the organism in Eukaryota, Metazoa, Arthropoda, Arachnida, Ixodida, Ixodidae.